GAUGAACGCUGGCGGCGUGCCUAAUACAUGCAAGUCGAGCGAACGGACGAGAAGCUUGCUUCUCUGAUGUUAGCGGCGGACGGGUGAGUAACACGUGGAUAACCUACCUACAAGACUGGGACAACUUCGGGAAACCGGAGCUAAUACCGGAUAAUAUUUUGAACCGCAUGGUUCUAAAGUGAUAGACGGUCUUGCUGUCACUUAUAGAUGGACCCGCGCUGCAUUAGCUAGUUGGUAAGGUAACGGCUUACCAAGGCAACGAUGCAUAGCCGACCUGAGAGGGUGCUAUGCCACCCUGGAAGUGGGACACGGUCCAGACUACUGCGGGAGGGAACGGUAGGGAAUCUUCCGCAGUGGGCGAAAACCUGACAGUGCCACGCGGCGUACGGGAGGAAGGUCUUCGGCUCGUAACAGACAGUUAGUAGGGAAGAACAUAUGUGUAAUUAACUGUGCACAUCUUGACGGUACCUAGUCAAAAAGCCACGGCUAACUUCGUG
Molecule: ribosomal RNA, 497 nt
Filed under: uncultured bacterium
Lineage: Bacteria
Description: partial 16S ribosomal RNA
Rfam family: Bacterial small subunit ribosomal RNA
Source: RNAcentral